Molecule: ribosomal RNA, 449 nt
Filed under: uncultured bacterium
Lineage: Bacteria
Description: bacterial SSU rRNA
Rfam family: Bacterial small subunit ribosomal RNA
Source: RNAcentral
GUGGGGAAUAUUGGACAAUGGGCGAAAGCCUGAUCCAGCCAUGCCGCGUGUGUGAAGAAGGUCUUCGGAUUGUAAAGCACUUUAAGUUGGGAGGAAGGGCAGUAAGUUAAUACCUUGCUGUUUUGACGUUACCGACAGAAUAAGCACCGGCUAACUUCGUGCCAGCAGCCGCGGUAAUACGAAGGGUGCAAGCGUUAAUCGGAAUUACUGGGCGUAAAGCGCGCGUAGGUGGUUUUGUAAGUUGGAGGUGAAAUCCCCGGGCUCAACCUGGGAACUGCCUCCAAAACUGCAUGACUAGAGUACGGUAGAGGGUAGUGGAAUUUCCUGUGUAGCGGUGAAAUGCGUAGAUAUAGGAAGGAACACCAGUGGCGAAGGCGACUACCUGGACUGAUACUGACACUGAGGUGCGAAAGCGUGGGAGCAAACAGGAUUAGAAACCCGAGUAGUCC